This 77-nucleotide transfer RNA is filed under the name Planctomycetota bacterium. RNAcentral's name for it is "Planctomycetes bacterium (soil metagenome) tRNA-His". It matches the Rfam family "tRNA". From Rfam's summary of the family: Transfer RNA (tRNA) molecules are approximately 80 nucleotides in length. Their secondary structure includes four short double-helical elements and three loops (D, anti-codon, and T loops). The record is from RNAcentral. RNAcentral also lists the same sequence under 1 other name. Lineage: Bacteria; Pseudomonadati; Planctomycetota.
GUCCUUGUAGCUCAUCUGGUUAGAGCGCAAGAUUGUGGCUCUUGAGGUAGCGGGUUCGAUUCCCGUCAAGGACCCCA